GUUCGAGAAGCCAUGAUUAUUUCUUUAUCUCAGAAGAGGAUAUAUUAAUAGGAACUUCCAAAACUAAAAAACAAAGAGAACAAAGACUGAAAAAAUCAGCACAGAAUGUCCAAGGAUUGUGGGACAACUACAAAAGACGGAGUCUCGCUCUGUUGCCACUUGUGAUCUCGGCUCACUGCAAUCUCUGACUCCUGGGUUCAAGCGAUUCUCCUGCCUCAGCCUCCCGAGCAGCUGGGAUUACAGGCGCGCGCCACCACGCCCAGCUAAUUUUUGUAUUUUUAGCAGAGACGGCGUUUCACCAUGUUGAUCAGGUUGGUCUCGAACUCCUGACCUCGUGAUCCGCCUGCCUCAGCCUCCCAAAGUGCUGGGAUUACAGGCGUGAGCCACUGCGCCCGGCCAGGAAGUAUCUUAUUUUUAGAAAAAGAGAAAAUUCUGUUAUAAUUAAUAUUAUAUUAAAAUCCAAUAAAAAGGAAAUUAUUUCUGGAGAUGAAGCAACUAUUUAUUUUAUUUAAUAUUUUCAAUUCAAAAUAGUGUGCAUACUUUGAAGUUGCUGUAAUAGAUGUGUAUUUCUUAAGAACAUAGUUCACCUUCAUAAAAAUCA
RNAcentral lists this long non-coding RNA (601 nucleotides) under Homo sapiens (human). RNAcentral describes it as "HSALNT0023085". The record is from RNAcentral. Lineage: Eukaryota; Metazoa; Chordata; Mammalia; Primates; Hominidae.